GUGCUCACUUCUGCAGCACAUGUACUAAAUGUGGAACGAUACAGAGAUUAGCAUGGCCCCUGCACAAGGAUGACACGCAAAUUCGUGAAGCAUUCCAUAUUUUA
Small nuclear RNA from Choloepus hoffmanni (Hoffmann's two-fingered sloth), 104 nucleotides. NCBI's taxonomy places the organism in Eukaryota, Metazoa, Chordata, Mammalia, Pilosa, Megalonychidae. The record is from Ensembl.